GCCGCGUGAAUGAUGAAGGUCUUAGGAUUGUAAAAUUCUUUCACCGGGGACGAUAAUGACGGUACCCGGAGAAGAAGCCCCGGCUAACUUCGUGCCAGCAGCCGCGGUAAUACGAAGGGGGCUAGCGUUGCUCGGAAUUACUGGGCGUAAAGGGAGCGUAGGCGGACUGUUUAGUCAGAGGUGAAAGCCCAGGGCUCAACCUUGGAAUUGCCUUUGAUACUGGCAGUCUUGAGUACGGAAGAGGUAUGUGGAACUCCGAGUGUAGAGGUGAAAUUCGUAGAUAUUCGGAAGAACACCAGUGGCGAAGGCGACAUACUGGUCCGUUACUGACGCUGAGGCUCGAAAGCGUGGGGAGCAAACAGGAUUAGAUACCCUGGUAGUCCACGCCGUAAACGAUGAGUGCUAGUUGUCGGCAUGCAUGCAUGUCGGUGACGCAGCUAACGCAUUAAGCACUCCGCCUGG
RNAcentral lists this ribosomal RNA (462 nucleotides) under Caulobacter sp. Its description in RNAcentral is "bacterial SSU rRNA". It matches the Rfam family "Bacterial small subunit ribosomal RNA", at positions 396 to 876 of the family's 1533-position model. Lineage: Bacteria; Pseudomonadati; Pseudomonadota; Alphaproteobacteria; Caulobacterales; Caulobacteraceae. The record is from RNAcentral.